GAUGUCUGGAUAACUGUGGCAAUUCUAGAGCUAAUACAUGCAAUCAAGCUCCAACCUUCGUGGGACGAGCGCUCUUAUUAGACCAAGGCCAACCUGCUGGGCAACUGGCAGUUAGCUGUGGUGACUCUGGAUAAACACAGUUGAUCGCACGACUUUACGUCGGCGACGUAUCUUUCAAGCGUAUGCCCUAUCAGCUGUCGACGGUAGGGUAGCGGCCUACCGUGGCAUCAACGGGUAACGGGGGAUCAGGGUCCGAUCCCGGAGAGUAAGCCUGAGAGACGGCUUACACAUCUAAGGAAGGCAGCAGGCGCGCAAAUUACCCAAUGGGGAAACCCUGAGGUAGUGACAAGAAAUAACAAUACGCGACUCUUUCGAGGCCGCGUAAUUGGAAUGAGCACAGUC
This 402-nucleotide ribosomal RNA is filed under the name Spirobranchus taeniatus. Its description in RNAcentral is "SSU rRNA". It matches the Rfam family "Eukaryotic small subunit ribosomal RNA", at positions 134 to 525 of the family's 1831-position model. Lineage: Eukaryota; Metazoa; Annelida; Polychaeta; Sabellida; Serpulidae. The record is from RNAcentral.